GAGCGAACAGAUAAGGAGCUUGCUCCUUUGACGUUAGCGGCGGACGGGUGAGUAACACGUGGGUAACCUACCUAUAAGACUGGGAUAACUUCGGGAAACCGGAGCUAAUACCGGAUAACAUUUGGAACCGCAUGGUUCUAAAGUGAAAGAUGGUUUUGCUAUCACUUAUAGAUGGACCCGCGCCGUAUUAGCUAGUUGGUAAGGUAACGGCUUACCAAGGCGACGAUACGUAGCCGACCUGAGAGGGUGAUCGGCCACACUGGAACUGAGACACGGUCCAGACUCCUACGGGAGGCAGCAGUAGGGAAUCUUCCGCAAUGGGCGAAAGCCUGACGGAGCAACGCCGCGUGAGUGAUGAAGGGUUUCGGCUCGUAAAACUCUGUUAUUAGGGAAGAACAAAUGUGUAAGUAACUGUGCACGUCUUGACGGUACCUAAUCAGAAAGCCACGGCUAACUACGUGCCAGCAGCCGCGGUAAUACGUAGGUGGCAAGCGUUAUCCGGAAUUAUUGGGCGUAAAGCGCGCGUAGGCGGUUUCUUAAGUCUGAUGUGAAAGCCCACGGCUCAACCGUGGAGGGUCAUUGGAAACUGGGAAACUUGAGUGCAGAAGAGGAAAGUGGAAUUCCAUGUGUAGCGGUGAAAUGCGCAGAGAUAUGGAGGAACACCAGUGGCGAAGGCGACUUUCUGGUCUGUAACUGACGCUGAUGUGCGAAAGCGUGGGGAUCAAACAGGAUUAGAUACCCUGGUAGUCCACGCCGUAAACGAUGAGUGCUAAGUGUUAGGGGGUUUCCGCCCCUUAGUGCUGCAGCUAACGCAUUAAGCACUCCGCCUGGGGAGUACGACCGCAAGGUUGAAACUCAAAGGAAUUGACGGGGACCCGCACAAGCGGUGGAGCAUGUGGUUUAAUUCGAAGCAACGCGAAGAACCUUACCAAAUCUUGACAUCCUUUGAAAACUCUAGAGAUAGAGCUUUCCCCUUCGGGGGACAAAGUGACAGGUGGUGCAUGGUUGUCGUCAGCUCGUGUCGUGAGAUGUUGGGUUAAGUCCCGCAACGAGCGCAACCCUUAAGCUUAGUUGCCAUCAUUAAGUUGGGCACUCUAGGUUGACUGCCGGUGACAAACCGGAGGAAGGUGGGGAUGACGUCAAAUCAUCAUGCCCCUUAUGAUUUGGGCUACACACGUGCUACAAUGGACAAUACAAAGGGCAGCUAAACCGCGAGGUCAUGCAAAUCCCAUAAAGUUGUUCUCAGUUCGGAUUGUAGUCUGCAACUCGACUACAUGAAGCUGGAAUCGCUAGUAAUCGUAGAUCAGCAUGCUACGGUGAAUACGUUCCCGGGUCUUGUACACACCGCCCGUCACACCACGAGAGUUUGUAACACCCGAAGCCGGUGGAGUAACCAUUUAUGGAGCUAGC
This 1410-nucleotide ribosomal RNA is filed under the name Staphylococcus saprophyticus. Its description in RNAcentral is "bacterial SSU rRNA". It matches the Rfam family "Bacterial small subunit ribosomal RNA". The record is from RNAcentral. Lineage: Bacteria; Bacillati; Bacillota; Bacilli; Caryophanales; Staphylococcaceae.